GAUGAACGCUGGCGGCGUGCCUAAUACAUGCAAGUAGAACGCUGAAGGAGGAGCUUGCUCUUCUGGAUGAGUUGCGAACGGGUGAGUAACGCGUAGGUAACCUGCCUGGUAGCGGGGGAUAACUAUUGGAAACGAUAGCUAAUACCGCAUGACAACAGUUAUUGCAUGAUAACUGUUUAAAAGGGGCAACUGCUCCACUACCAGAUGGACCUGCGUUGUAUUAGCUAGUUGGUGAGGUAACGGCUCACCAAGGCGACGAUACAUAGCCGACCUGAGAGGGUGAUCGGCCACAGUGGGACUGAGACACGGCCCAGACUCCUACGGGAGGCAGCAGUAGGGAAUCUUCGGCAAUGGACGGAAGUCUGACCGAGCAACGCCGCGUGAGUGAAGAAGGUUUUCGGAUCGUAAAGCUCUGUUGUAAGAGAAGAACGAGUGUGAGAGUGGAAAGUUCACACUGUGACGGUAUCUUACCAGAAAGGGACGGCUAACUACGUG
This 495-nucleotide ribosomal RNA is filed under the name uncultured bacterium. RNAcentral's name for it is "partial 16S ribosomal RNA". It matches the Rfam family "Bacterial small subunit ribosomal RNA", at positions 28 to 507 of the family's 1533-position model. The record is from RNAcentral.